Long non-coding RNA from Juglans microcarpa x Juglans regia, 404 nucleotides. RefSeq lists it as uncharacterized. The record is from RefSeq and is a predicted model, not a curated record. NCBI's taxonomy places the organism in Eukaryota, Viridiplantae, Streptophyta, Magnoliopsida, Fagales, Juglandaceae. The transcript has 2 exons.
CCCCUCCUCCUUCCCUUCAGCCUCCACCUCCCCCUCUUCCUCCGCCCCCUCCUCCUCCUCGUAGGAGGCCUCGUCCCCCUACCUGCCGGCCCCUCCCCCACCAAAAGAACAACCUAAUUGUGCUUCUCGAUGUUCUAUGGAGUGUGUUGGUCGUUAUUAUAAGUACGACGACUACUGCAAUAAAAACUGUAUAAAACGACGCAGGCCGAGGCUUUCCCCACCAUAGUACUCAAUUAAUUCCACCAGUUUUUGCCGAUCAGCAAAAGCAGAUAAAAUAUAUCGAAGGUGAUCAGAGUGCAUGCUAGCUACAACAACUGCAAGAUCAAGAACUAAUAUUGGCUUGUAUUUGCAAUAAAAUAAAGAACAAUGUUAAGAUGCAUCUAAUAUAUAUAUAUAUAUAUAUA